RNAcentral lists this ribosomal RNA (496 nucleotides) under uncultured bacterium. RNAcentral describes it as "partial 16S ribosomal RNA". It matches the Rfam family "Bacterial small subunit ribosomal RNA", at positions 28 to 507 of the family's 1533-position model. The record is from RNAcentral.
GAUGAACGCUGGCGGCGUGCCUAAUACAUGCAAGUCGAGCGAACAGAUGAGGAGCUUGCUCCUCUGACGUUAGCGGCGGACGGGUGAGUAACACGUGGAUAACCUACCUAUAAGACUGGGAUAACUUCGGGAAACCGGAGCUAAUACCGGAUAAUAUAUUGAACCGCAUGGUUCAAUAGUGAAAGACGGUUUUGCUGUCACUUAUAGAUGGAUCCGCGCCGCAUUAGCUAGUUGGUAAGGUAACGGCUUACCAAGGCAACGAUGCGUAGCCGACCUGAGAGGGUGAUCGGCCACACUGGAACUGAGACACGGUCCAGACCCUACGGGAGGCAGCAGUAGGGAAUCUUCCGCAAUGGGCGAAAGCCUGACGGAGCAACGCCGUGUGAGUGAUGAAGGUCUUCGGAUCGUAAAACUCUGUUAUUAGGGAAGAACAAAUGUGUAAGUAACUAUGCACGUCUUGACGGUACCUAAUCAGAAAGCCACGGCUAACUACGUG